RNAcentral lists this ribosomal RNA (675 nucleotides) under Salmonella enterica. Its description in RNAcentral is "partial 23S ribosomal RNA". It matches the Rfam family "Bacterial large subunit ribosomal RNA", at positions 140 to 755 of the family's 2925-position model. Lineage: Bacteria; Pseudomonadati; Pseudomonadota; Gammaproteobacteria; Enterobacterales; Enterobacteriaceae. The record is from RNAcentral.
UCGUCACACUAUCAUUAACUGAAUCCAUAGGUUAAUGAGGCGAACCGGGGGAACUGAAACAUCUAAGUACCCCGAGGAAAAGAAAUCAACCGAGAUUCCCCCAGUAGCGGCGAGCGAACGGGGAGGAGCCCAGAGCCUGAAUCAGCAUGUGUGUUAGUGGAAGCAUCUGGAAAGGCGCGCGAUACAGGGUGACAGCCCCGUACACAAAAGCACAUGUGCUGUGAGCUCGAUGAGUAGGGCGGGACACGUGGUAUCCUGUCUGAAUAUGGGGGGACCAUCCUCCAAGGCUAAAUACUCCUGACUGACCGAUAGUGAACCAGUACCGUGAGGGAAAGGCGAAAAGAACCCCGGCGAGGGGAGUGAAAAAGAACCUGAAACCGUGUACGUACAAGCAGUGGGAGCCCCACCACUAAGCCAGUGGUGAACUCCACAUACGCAUCCUUUGCUGAGGAUACGGUUAACGGAGCGAAAGCGACGUUCAACCGCAAAAGAAGCAGAGGGGGCUUAGUGGUGGGGUGACUGCGUACCUUUUGUAUAAUGGGUCAGCGACUUAUAUUCUGUAGCAAGGUUAACCGAAUAGGGGAGCCGGAGGGAAACCGAGUCUUAACCGGGCGUUAAGUUGCAGGGUAUAGACCCGAAACCCGGUGAUCUAGCCAUGGGCAGGUUGAAGGUUGG